ACACGCAUGACACACUGCAUAUCAAUAAGCGGAGGAAAAGAAACUAACAUAGGAUUCCCUUAGUAACGGCGAGUGAAGCGGGAAGAGCUCAAAUUUGAAAUCUUCAAGGUUCUACCUUGACGAAUUGUAGUUUAAAGAAGUGUUUUCUGUUGGAGUUUUGGUAAAAGUUCUUUGGAAUAGGACAUCAUAGAGGGUGAGAAUCCCGUAUUUGACCAUUAUCUUCCAGCUGUGUGAUACACUUUCAAAGAGUCGGAUUGUUUGGGAAUGCAGUCCAAAAUGGGUGGUAAAUUUCAUCUAAAGCUAAAUAUUGGCGAGAGACCGAUAGCGAACAAGUACCGUGAGGGAAAGAUGAAAAGAACUUUGAAAAGAGAGUUAAACAGUACGUGAAAUUGUCAAAAGGGAAGCGUUUGACACCUAGUGUUGUUUUCUCGAAAAUCAAUUAAAAAUGAUGGGAUUUUGUGUUGUAUUGACUUUAUCAGCUUUCUGCACUUUUUUCUUAUCUUUUUUAAUGCACUUUUCGUUUAGCAAGUCAACAUCAAUUUCUUUUGUUGUAAAAGAGUCAUUGGAAGGUGGCUUUUUCUUCGGAAAAAGUGUUUAUAGCCUUUGGCUUCUGCAAUCGGAGAGAUUGAGGUCUGCAGCGUAGAUCCUUCGGGGUUAGAUACAUUUGUGCUAAGCUAUAGUUCCUUAUAGACAACUUGUUGACUAUAAUCAAUCCUGUAACUUACUCGCUUAUGCUAUUUUACCUACGCUUAGGAUGUUGAUCUACAGAGCGAGAGU
Molecule: ribosomal RNA, 777 nt
Filed under: uncultured Neocallimastigales
Lineage: Eukaryota; Fungi; Neocallimastigomycota; Neocallimastigomycetes; Neocallimastigales
Description: partial large subunit ribosomal RNA
Rfam family: Eukaryotic large subunit ribosomal RNA
Source: RNAcentral